UACAGAGACCUCAAGCGUUAUCCGGAAUCAUUGGGCGUAAAGCGUACCGAUAGGUGGUUAUGCAAGUCAGAUGUGAAAUCUCCGAAGCUCAACUCGGAAUCUGUCAUUUGAAACUGCACAACUAGAGGGGCAAAGAGGAAGCUAGAACGAACGGUGUAGUAGUGAAAUGCGUUGAUAUCGUUCGGAAUACCGAUAGCGAAGGCAGGCUUCUGGGUGCCACCUGACACUGCUAGGACGAAAGCGUGGGGAGCCGAAUGGG
This 259-nucleotide ribosomal RNA is filed under the name uncultured bacterium. RNAcentral's name for it is "partial 16S ribosomal RNA". It matches the Rfam family "Bacterial small subunit ribosomal RNA", at positions 524 to 776 of the family's 1533-position model. The record is from RNAcentral.